ACUGGCUUUCCUAUUGUAAAUAUUGCUGGGUCAAACCAUGGCGCAUCUUCAGCAUACACAGAAUUUGGUCCUCCAGAUAUGAUGAUAGCUCGAAAGCCCUGCUCCCUGAUGGCAAAGGCAGGCGUCUCCAGGGGGAAGAUCUCGGACUGGACGAAGAGCUCACGCACCCGGCGGUCGAUGACUUUCCCAUACUGUGCACCAGCAUCCAGGAUGACCACAGCUCCCUCGUAGUGGUGCUGCCCGUCCUUCAGCUCUCCUCCCGUGUUCUCUGGCUUGGCGUCUCCGUUGCACAGCGCCAUGGGGACGGCGGUGGGGAGCCGAGGGGAGAAAGGGCCGCGCCGAGCCGGGCCAAGGCCAACCGUGCGCGCCUCCGCCGCGGGGAGGAACCGCCUCCAGCACCCCGCGCCGGGCAGCACCGCCCCGGCUUCCAGCUCCGCCUCUUCCUGCCGGGGCGGGGCGUGGGGCAGCGGUGCUGCAGGCCGGGCGCGGUGUCCCAUCCCUGGGGGUAUCCCAUCCCUGGGGGUUCUCGGGCCGGGCCCCGCGCGCCCCUGGGGUGCAGCCGGCUCACGGCAGGGCUGGGGCAGCGGGGCUGCGAGGUCCCUUCCAACCCAACCGCCCCUCGGUUCUGUUGUGGGUCGUGGUAUAACGAGUGGUUUUACUAAACGACUGCAUUUUAUACUAGCAUAGAACCAUCUACGGCUCAGUAGUUCACACAAUGCUCCAAAAAUAACGCCUCGUAUUUUAUGUAUCCCACGACGUCAGAGGCAGAUGCUGGGGUUGAACCUUCCCAUCUUCCUUUACGUUUUCUCGGGGAAUGAAAGGCACCCGUUGGCAUUCAUCGCUGCUGACCGCUCGUGGAGAUCAAACAGUGGAUGUCAGCACAGCGUGUGGCGCGUUCAGCAGUGCUAACAGCGACGGUGGUCAUCUCCGCUGGCGCAGAUUUGUAUGAGCCCGGCACGAAGGACGCAAGGAGCGGCAUGAGGCGUACAAUAGCGGGGUAUAGCAGCACUGACUCGCUCGGUCCUUACAGACCCGCACAGCUCAGUACGGACUCGCUCCGCACCGUCCCCCCGCCGCACACCGCUGGCUCCAGCUCAGGGCUCUGCCCUUCUGUGGCUCUGCAGCCAGCCCUGCAGCGGGCCGAGCCCUCCGGCCGCCAGCGGGAAGGCCCAGCGGGGCGGUACGGAACCAGCCGCGGCCGAACCGAAACGAACGUCGCGCGGCGCACCCUCA
This 1233-nucleotide long non-coding RNA is filed under the name Gallus gallus (chicken). The record is from RNAcentral. Lineage: Eukaryota; Metazoa; Chordata; Aves; Galliformes; Phasianidae.